Molecule: ribosomal RNA, 148 nt
Filed under: Lactarius sphagneti
Lineage: Eukaryota; Fungi; Basidiomycota; Agaricomycetes; Russulales; Russulaceae
Description: 5.8S ribosomal RNA
Rfam family: 5.8S ribosomal RNA
About the family: 5.8S ribosomal RNA (5.8S rRNA) is a component of the large subunit of the eukaryotic ribosome. It is transcribed by RNA polymerase I as part of the 45S precursor that also contains 18S and 28S rRNA.
Source: RNAcentral
CAACUUUCAACAACGGAUCUCUUGGCUCUCGCAUCGAUGAAGAACGCAGCGAAAUGCGAUACGUAAUGUGAAUUGCAGAAUUCAGUGAAUCAUCGAAUCUUUGAACGCACCUUGCGCCCCUUGGUAUUCCGAGGGGCGCACCCGUUUG